GUUGUAUGGUUAAGUGACUAAGCGUACACGGUGGAUGCCUUGGCAGUCAGAGGCGAUGAAAGACGUAGUAACUUGCGAUAAGCCCAGAUUAGGUAGUAACAACCAUUUGAGUCUGGGAUUUCUGAAUGGGGAAACCCACGUGCAUAAGCACGUAUCCUUACCUGAAUACAUAGGGUAAGGAGGCGAACCGGGGGAACUGAAACAUCUAAGUACCCCGAGGAAAAGAAAUCAACCGAGAUUCCGAAAGUAGCGGCGAGCGAAAUUGGACUAGCCCUUAAGCUUUACACGCGUUAGACGAACGGUCUGGAAAGUCCGACGAUACAGGGUGAUAGUCCCGUAGUUGACGACGUGUGUUCAGUGAAAUCGAGUAGGGCGGGACACGUGAUAUCCUGUCUGAAUAUGGGGGGACCAUCCUCCAAGGCUAAAUACUACUGACUGACCGAUAGUGAACCAGUACCGUGAGGGAAAGGCGAAAAGAACCCCUGUGAGGGGAGUGAAAUAGAACCUGAAACCGUGUACGUACAAGCAGUAGGAGCAGGCUUUGUCCUGUGACUGCGUACCUUUUGUAUAAUGGGUCAGCGACUUAUAUUCAGUGGCAAGGUUAACCAUCUAGGGGAGCCGUAGGGAAACCGAGUCUUAACUGGGCGUUCAGUCUCUGGAUAUAGACCCGAAACCAGGUGAUCUAGCCAUGAGCAGGUUGAAGGUUGAGUAACAUCAACUGGAGGACCGAACCGACUAAUGUUGAAAAAUUAGCGGAUGACUUGUGGCUAGGGGUGAAAGGCCAAUCAAACCUGGAGAUAGCUGGUUCUCCCCGAAAGCUAUUUAGGUAGCGCCUCGGACGAAUACUACUGGGGGUAGAGCACUGUUAAGGCUAGGGGGUCAUCCCGACUUACCAACCCUUUGCAAACUCCGAAUACCAGUAAGUACUAUCCGGGAGACACACGGCGGGUGCUAACGUCCGUCGUGGAGAGGGAAACAACCCAGACCGCCAGCUAAGGUCCCAAAUUACUACUAAGUGGGAAACGAUGUGGGAAGGCUCAGACAGCCAGGAUGUUGGCUUAGAAGCAGCCAUCAUUUAAAGAAAGCGUAAUAGCUCACUGGUCGAGUCGGCCUGCGCGGAAGAUGUAACGGGGCUAAGUAGUAAACCGAAGCUGCGGCAAUGUGCUUUUGCACAUUGGGUAGGGGAGCGUUCUGUAAGCGGUUGAAGGUGUGUGGUAACGCAUGCUGGACGUAUCAGAAGUGCGAAUGCUGACAUGAGUAACGAUAAAGGGGGUGAAAAACCUCCUCGCCGGAAGACCAAGGGUUCCUGUCCAACGUUAAUCGGGGCAGGGUAAGUCGACCCCUAAGGCGAGGCCGAAAGGCGUAGUCGAUGGGAAACGGGUUAAUAUUCCCGUACUUCUUACAAUUGCGAUGGGGGGACGGAGAAGGCUAGGUGGGCCUGGCGACGGUUGUCCAGGUUCAAGUGCGUAGGCUUAAGAGUUAGGUAAAUCCGGCUCUUUUUAAGGCUGAGACACGACGUCGAGCAUCUACGGAUGUGAAGUCAUUGAUGCCAUGCUUCCAGGAAAAGCCUCUAAGCUUCAGAUUGUAAGGAAUCGUACCCCAAACCGACACAGGUGGUCGGGUAGAGAAUACCAAGGCGCUUGAGAGAACUCGGGUGAAGGAACUAGGCAAAAUGGUACCGUAACUUCGGGAGAAGGUACGCUCUCGACGGUGAAGUCCCUCGCGGAUGGAGCUAUUGAGAGUCGCAGAUACCAGGUGGCUGCAACUGUUUAUAAAAAACACAGCACUGUGCAAAAUCGUAAGAUGACGUAUACGGUGUGACGCCUGCCCGGUGCCGGAAGGUUAAUUGAUGGGGUUAGACUUCGGUCGAAGCUCUUGAUCGAAGCCCCGGUAAACGGCGGCCGUAACUAUAACGGUCCUAAGGUAGCGAAAUUCCUUGUCGGGUAAGUUCCGACCUGCACGAAUGGCGUAAUGAUGGCCACGCUGUCUCCACCCGAGACUCAGUGAAAUUGAAAUCGCUGUGAAGAUGCAGUGUACCCGCGGCUAGACGGAAAGACCCCGUGAACCUUUACUACAGCUUGGCACUGAACAUUGACCCUACAUGUGUAGGAUAGGUGGGAGGCUUUGAAGCACGUACGCCAGUAUGUGUGGAGCCGUCCUUGAAAUACCACCCUUGUAGUGUUGAUGUUCUAACGUCGACCCCUUAUCGGGGUUGCGGACAGUGCCUGGUGGGUAGUUUGACUGGGGCGGUCUCCUCCCAAAGAGUAACGGAGGAGCACGAAGGUGGGCUAAUCACGGUUGGACAUCGUGAGGUUAGUGCAAUGGCAUAAGCCCGCUUGACUGCGAGAAUGACAAUUCGAGCAGGUGCGAAAGCAGGUCAUAGUGAUCCGGUGGUUCUGAAUGGAAGGGCCAUCGCUCAACGGAUAAAAGGUACUCCGGGGAUAACAGGCUGAUACCGCCCAAGAGUUCAUAUCGACGGCGGUGUUUGGCACCUCGAUGUCGGCUCAUCACAUCCUGGGGCUGAAGUCGGUCCCAAGGGUAUGGCUGUUCGCCAUUUAAAGUGGUACGCGAGCUGGGUUUAGAACGUCGUGAGACAGUUCGGUCCCUAUCUGCCGUGGGCGUUGGAAGAUUGAAGGGGGCUGCUCCUAGUACGAGAGGACCGGAGUGGACGAACCUCUGGUGUUCGGGUUGUGUCGCCAGACGCAUUGCCCGGUAGCUAAGUUCGGAAUCGAUAACCGCUGAAAGCAUCUAAGCGGGAAGCGAGCCCUGAGAUGAGUCUUCCCUGAUACUUUAAGUAUCCUAAAGGGUUGUCGGAGACUACGACGUUGAUAGGUCAGGUGUGUAAGUGCUGUGAGGCAUUGAGCUAACUGAUACUAAUUGCCCGUGAGGCUUAACCAUACAACACCUAAGGGGUUU
RNAcentral lists this ribosomal RNA (2916 nucleotides) under Vibrio parahaemolyticus. Its description in RNAcentral is "bacterial LSU rRNA". It matches the Rfam family "Bacterial large subunit ribosomal RNA". The record is from RNAcentral. Lineage: Bacteria; Pseudomonadati; Pseudomonadota; Gammaproteobacteria; Vibrionales; Vibrionaceae.